This 424-nucleotide ribosomal RNA is filed under the name uncultured bacterium. Its description in RNAcentral is "partial 16S ribosomal RNA". It matches the Rfam family "Bacterial small subunit ribosomal RNA", at positions 360 to 776 of the family's 1533-position model. The record is from RNAcentral.
AAUUUUGGACAAUGGGGGAAACCCUGAUCCACCUAUCCCGCGCGUAUGAUGUAGGNCUNNGGGUUNUNAAGUACUUUUGGCAGNNNNNAAAAGCCAUCCCCUAAUACGGGAUGCUGCCGACGGUAUCUGCAGAACAAGCACCGGCUCACUACGUGCCAGCAGCCGCGGUAAUACGUAGGGUUCAAGCGUUAAUCGGAAUUACUGGGCGUAAAGCGUGUGUAGGCGGGUCGGAAAGAAAGAUGUGAAAUCCCAGGGCUCAACCUUGGAACUGCAUUUUUAACUGCCGGGCUAGAGUAUGUCAGAGGGGGGUAGAAUUCCACGUGUAGCAGUGAAAUGCGUAGAUAUGUGGAGGAAUACCGAUGGCGAAGGCAGCCCCCUGGGAUAAUACUGACGCUCAGACACGAAAGCGUGGGGAGCAAACAGG